GACGAACGCUGGCGGCGUGCCUAAUACAUGCAAGUCGAACGAACUCUGGUAUUGAUUGGUGCUUGCAUCAUGAUUUACAUUUGAGUGAGUGGCGAACUGGUGAGUAACACGUGGGAAACCUGCCCAGAAGCGGGGGAUAACACCUGGAAACAGAUGCUAAUACCGCAUAACAACUUGGACCGCAUGGUCCGAGCUUGAAAGAUGGCUUCGGCUAUCACUUUUGGAUGGUCCCGCGGCGUAUUAGCUAGAUGGUGGGGUAACGGCUCACCAUGGCAAUGAUACGUAGCCGACCUGAGAGGGUAAUCGGCCACAUUGGGACUGAGACACGGCCCAAACUCCUACGGGAGGCAGCAGUAGGGAAUCUUCCACAAUGGACGAAAGUCUGAUGGAGCAACGCCGCGUGAGUGAAGAAGGGUUUCGGCUCGUAAAACUCUGUUGUUAAAGAAGAACAUAUCUGAGAGUAACUGUUCAGGUAUUGACGGUAUUUAACCAGAAAGCCACGGCUAACUACGUGCCAGCAGCCGCGGUAAUACGUAGGUGGCAAGCGUUGUCCGGAUUUAUUGGGCGUAAAGCGAGCGCAGGCGGUUUUUUAAGUCUGAUGUGAAAGCCUUCGGCUCAACCGAAGAAGUGCAUCGGAAACUGGGAAACUUGAGUGCAGAAGAGGACAGUGGAACUCCAUGUGUAGCGGUGAAAUGCGUAGAUAUAUGGAAGAACACCAGUGGCGAAGGCGGCUGUCUGGUCUGUAACUGACGCUGAGGCUCGAAAGUAUGGGUAGCAAACAGGAUUAGAUACCCUGGUAGUCCAUACCGUAAACGAUGAAUGCUAAGUGUUGGAGGGUUUCCGCCCUUCAGUGCUGCAGCUAACGCAUUAAGCAUUCCGCCUGGGGAGUACGGCCGCAAGGCUGAAACUCAAAGGAAUUGACGGGGGCCCGCACAAGCGGUGGAGCAUGUGGUUUAAUUCGAAGCUACGCGAAGAACCUUACCAGGUCUUGACAUACUAUGCAAAUCUAAGAGAUUAGACGUUCCCUUCGGGGACAUGGAUACAGGUGGUGCAUGGUUGUCGUCAGCUCGUGUCGUGAGACGUUGGGUUAAGUCCCGCAACGAGCGCAACCCUUAUUAUCAGUUGCCAGCAUUAAGUUGGGCACUCUGGUGAGACUGCCGGUGACAAACCGGAGGAAGGUGGGGAUGACGUCAAAUCAUCAUGCCCCUUAUGACCUGGGCUACACACGUGCUACAAUGGAUGGUACAACGAGUUGCGAACUCGCGAGAGUAAGCUAAUCUCUUAAAGCCAUUCUCAGUUCGGAUUGUAGGCUGCAACUCGCCUACAUGAAGUCGGAAUCGCUAGUAAUCGCGGAUCAGCAUGCCGCGGUGAAUACGUUCCCGGGCCUUGUACACACCGCCCGUCACACCAUGAGAGUUUGUAACACCCAAAGUCGGUGGGGUAACCUUUUAGGAACCAGCCGCCUAAGGUGGGACAGAUGAUUAGGGUG
RNAcentral lists this ribosomal RNA (1489 nucleotides) under Lactiplantibacillus argentoratensis. Its description in RNAcentral is "bacterial SSU rRNA". It matches the Rfam family "Bacterial small subunit ribosomal RNA". The record is from RNAcentral. Lineage: Bacteria; Bacillati; Bacillota; Bacilli; Lactobacillales; Lactobacillaceae.